RNAcentral lists this ribosomal RNA (218 nucleotides) under uncultured bacterium. RNAcentral describes it as "partial 16S ribosomal RNA". It matches the Rfam family "Bacterial small subunit ribosomal RNA", at positions 122 to 334 of the family's 1533-position model. The record is from RNAcentral.
UAACCUGCCUUGUAGCGGGGGAGUAACUAUUGGAAACGAUAGCUGAUACCGCAUAACAAUGGAUGACACAUGUCAUUUAUUUGAAAGGGGCAAUUGCUCCACUACAAGAUGGACCUGCGUUGUAUUAGCUAGUAGGUGAGGUAACGGCUCACCUAGGCGACGAUACAUAGCCGACCUGAGAGGGUGAUCGGCCACACUGGGACUAAGACACGGCCCAG